RNAcentral lists this ribosomal RNA (536 nucleotides) under Pseudomonas sp. M67copa5. Its description in RNAcentral is "bacterial SSU rRNA". It matches the Rfam family "Bacterial small subunit ribosomal RNA", at positions 59 to 590 of the family's 1533-position model. Lineage: Bacteria; Pseudomonadati; Pseudomonadota; Gammaproteobacteria; Pseudomonadales; Pseudomonadaceae. The record is from RNAcentral.
AAGUCGAGCGGAUGAAGGGAGCUUGCUCCCUGAUUCAGCGGCGGACGGGUGAGUAAUGCCUAGGAAUCUGCCUGGUAGUGGGGGACAACGUCUCGAAAGGGACGCUAAUACCGCAUACGUCCUACGGGAGAAAGCAGGGGACCUUCGGGCCUUGCGCUAUCAGAUGAGCCUAGGUCGGAUUAGCUAGUUGGUGAGGUAAUGGCUCACCAAGGCGACGAUCCGUAACUGGUCUGAGAGGAUGAUCAGUCACACUGGAACUGAGACACGGUCCAGACUCCUACGGGAGGCAGCAGUGGGGAAUAUUGGACAAUGGGCGAAAGCCUGAUCCAGCCAUGCCGCGUGUGUGAAGAAGGUCUUCGGAUUGUAAAGCACUUUAAGUUGGGAGGAAGGGCAUUAACCUAAUACGUUGGUGUUUUGACGUUACCGACAGAAUAAGCACCGGCUAACUCUGUGCCAGCAGCCGCGGUAAUACAGAGGGUGCAAGCGUUAAUCGGAAUUACUGGGCGUAAAGCGCGCGUAGGUGGUUUGUUAAGUUG